GACGAACGCUGGCGGCGUGCUUAACACAUGCAAGUCGAACGGAAAGGCCCUGCUUUUGUGGGGUGCUCGAGUGGCGAACGGGUGAGUAACACGUGAGUAACCUGCCCUUGACUUUGGGAUAACUUCAGGAAACUGGGGCUAAUACCGGAUAGGAGCUCCUGCUGCAUGGUGGGGGUUGGAAAGUUUCGGCGGUUGGGGAUGGACUCGCGGCUUAUCAGCUUGUUGGUGGGGUAGUGGCUUACCAAGGCUUUGACGGGUAGCCGGCCUGAGAGGGUGACCGGCCACAUGGGUACUGAGAGACGGCCCAGACGCCUACGGGAGGCAGCAGUGGGGAAUAUGGCACAAUGGGCGGAAGCCUGAUGCAGCAACGCCGCGUGCGGGAUGACGGCCUUCGGGUUGUAAACCGCUGUCGCCUGUGACGAAGCGUGAGUGACGGUAAUGGGUAAAGAAGCACCGGCUAACUACGUG
Molecule: ribosomal RNA, 468 nt
Filed under: uncultured bacterium
Lineage: Bacteria
Description: partial 16S ribosomal RNA
Rfam family: Bacterial small subunit ribosomal RNA
Source: RNAcentral